AGCUUUGUACAGUGGCAGUAUCAUAGCCAGUGAGGUUUAUCUGAGGCACAAUUAUUGUUAAUUGAAAACCUUUCCCAAUACCCUGCUGUGACGACUUGCAAUGUAGUCAGUACUGGAAAUUUUUGAUGAUCUCUAUGGAGA
Molecule: small nuclear RNA, 141 nt
Organism: Otolemur garnettii (small-eared galago)
Lineage: Eukaryota; Metazoa; Chordata; Mammalia; Primates; Galagidae
Gene: U4
Rfam family: U4 spliceosomal RNA
About the family: U4 small nuclear RNA (U4 snRNA) is a component of the major U2-dependent spliceosome. The structure of U4 snRNA from yeast and human has been reported.
Source: Ensembl